This 398-nucleotide unclassified non-coding RNA is filed under the name Hevea brasiliensis (rubber tree). The record is from RNAcentral. Lineage: Eukaryota; Viridiplantae; Streptophyta; Magnoliopsida; Malpighiales; Euphorbiaceae.
GACCACAAAUUUGGCAAAGAUGUCUUUCCAAAGAACUUUCAGAAUGGAAGUCUUAUUGGUGGUGCAAGUCUCAAUGCAUCAAUACCAUUAAGUGAGCAGGAGGACGGAUGCGAACUGCAGCUCUGCCAACUUUUAGAAAGUUGUAUGGGAAGAUACAGAAGGAUCUACAGCCCGAUGAUGAGAUACAUGUAAUACUUCAGAACAACUAUAAUACAUACAGCUUCAAUGGCAAGAAAAAGCUAGUGCUUUCAACCACAAGCUGGCUUGGUGGAAAGAACGACUUUCUUGGUAUUGCUUAUCUCACUGUUGGGGGACUCUGCUUCUUUUUGGCAAUGUGUUUCACUGUUGUAUAUCUCGUCAAGCCUAGGAGGCUGGGAGAUCCCUCUUAUUUAUCAUGG